CCUACGGACGCAGCAGUAGGGAAUCUUCCACAAUGGGCGAAAGCCUGAUGGAGCAACGCCGCGUGGGUGAAGAAGGUCUUCGGAUCGUAAAACCCUGUUGUUAGAGAAGAACAAGGACGUUAGUAACUGAACGUCCCCUGACGGUAUCUAACCAGAAAGCCACGGCUAACUACGUGCCAGCAGCCGCGGUAAUACGUAGGUGGCAAGCGUUAUCCGGAUUUAUUGGGCGUAAAGGGAACGCAGGCGGUCUUUUAAGUCUGAUGUGAAAGCCUAUGGCUUAACC
This 283-nucleotide ribosomal RNA is filed under the name uncultured bacterium. RNAcentral's name for it is "partial 16S ribosomal RNA". It matches the Rfam family "Bacterial small subunit ribosomal RNA", at positions 338 to 614 of the family's 1533-position model. The record is from RNAcentral.